This 254-nucleotide long non-coding RNA is filed under the name Gossypium raimondii (Peruvian cotton). RNAcentral's name for it is "long non-coding RNA (GRAI_LNC006736)". Lineage: Eukaryota; Viridiplantae; Streptophyta; Magnoliopsida; Malvales; Malvaceae. The record is from RNAcentral.
AACAAGCACUACCCCCUACAGUUCAACAACACCCACCGGAGUGUUAGGAGGAGUCGGCACCGGCUUAGGCCCAUCCGGAACCACCUCCACCAACACUGAUUACAGCCACGGAGGAUUCCGGCUCCAACCCAUUUCUUCCUUCACAACCCUCCUGUUUUCAGGCUUCAUGCUGAUUUGGGGUUGAAUACUACAAACCAACAAUGAGCCUAUAUGUAAUAUUCAGAUGUUUUAUCUAAGGACAUGUUAAAGCUAAG